RNAcentral lists this non-coding RNA (191 nucleotides) under Limnochorda pilosa. Its description in RNAcentral is "MoCo sequence". It matches the Rfam family "Molybdenum/Tungsten riboswitch aptamer (Moco RNA motif)". The record is from Rfam by way of RNAcentral. Lineage: Bacteria; Bacillati; Bacillota; Limnochordia; Limnochordales; Limnochordaceae.
ACAACCCAAAGUCUCCGAGCCUUCAGGACCUAAGGCACCUGUUUCGUGAGGCGGGCGCAAAGGCCUGAGGCCGAACCUCGGCAGAAUCCGAGGGACCGCCGGACGGGGAGCGCCCCCGGGCGGCGGUCGUGGGUAGGGAAGGAAACGACCCUGCCUCCCCGUGCUUGGAAAGGAGACGCCCAACCGAAGCG